ACUGACUCCUUGGAAAAGACCCUGAUGCUGGGAAAGAUUGAAGGUAGAAGGAGAAGGGGAUGACAGAGGAUGAGAUGUUUGGAUGGCAUCACCAACUCAAUGGACAUCAGUAAGAGCAAGCUCCGUGAAUUGCUGAUGAACAGGGAAGCCUGGCAUGCCACAGUCCAUGGAGUCACAAAGAGUUGGACAUGACUGAGCGAAUGAACUGACUGAACUGAACCCUACGCUUCCAGAGGGCAUUCACAUUCCUUGGCUUGUGGCCUCUUCUCUAUCUUUAAAGCCAGCAAUGAUUCAAAGCACAAAUGAAGGUCUACUGAAAACUUCCAGAACUUGGAGAUCUAUUUCUAAUCCGAGGGGAAGACAGAAUCUGCUUUGGCUCAUCACAUUUUUCUAUAUCCUUUGAGUGCUAACCACAGGAAAUAUUUUUAAACUAGCAAGUCAAGAUGUAACUCUUUCUUUCAUUCCAGAAUCUGACUCUCCUCUGAGGCAACAUGUGACACUGACUAUGAAAGGAAUAGGAAGCAAAAAGAAAAAUGUGAUUUCAGCCACGAAUAGAAGACUGAAAAAACUAUCCUUAAAUUAGUAGAGCUUUGUAUAUAGAUGUUGGUUUCCUAGAGUUAGGCUCUUAACGAUU
Molecule: long non-coding RNA, 634 nt
Organism: Dama dama (fallow deer)
Lineage: Eukaryota; Metazoa; Chordata; Mammalia; Artiodactyla; Cervidae
Exons: 3
Source: RefSeq, a predicted model, not a curated record